GAUGAACGCUGGCGGAAUGCUUAACACAUGCAAGUCGACUUGACCUUCGGUGUGGGUGGCGGACGGGUGAGUGACGCGUACGGAACUUGCCUCCCAGCUAGGGCCAACAUUUGGAAACGAAUGCUAUUACCUGAUAUUAUGAUUAUCUGGCUUCGUAUAAUUAUGAAAGCUAUAUGCGCUGUGAGAGAGCUUUGCGUCCCAUUAGCUAGUUGGCGAGGUAACAGCACCCCAAGGCGAUGAUGGGUGGCCGGCCUGAGAGGGUGAUCGGCCACAAGGGGACUGAGGAACGGCCAGUACGCCAACGGGAGGCAGCAGUGGGGAAUAUUGGGCAAUGGACCGAGAGUGUGAUGCAGGAAUUCGGUGUGCACGAUGAAGUUUUUAGGAAUGUAAAGUUCUGUCAGUUGGGAAGAAAAAAAUGACGGUACCAACAGAAGAAGCGACGGCUAAAUACGUG
Molecule: ribosomal RNA, 454 nt
Filed under: uncultured bacterium
Lineage: Bacteria
Description: partial 16S ribosomal RNA
Rfam family: Bacterial small subunit ribosomal RNA
Source: RNAcentral